CACUGACUUCCCAUCAUACAAUGGAUUCAUAGUUUGUCAUUGCAGUAACACGUUGUGUGUGCUUCGUUCCUUAGUUUGAUUGUUUGUACAGUUCUGGCUUCGUCAUUUAUCUGCUUUGUCUUUGUAUGUGCAUCAUCCAGAGCUCGCACCGACUUGAUUUUCAGAGAGUCACACAACACAAAUGACUGGAUGCAGUUAUCUGGGUCAUUCAUUCAAAGGUCUUUCGAGUGAGUUGCAUGCAGGUAAGUUGAUCCAUGCAUAGCUUGUCUGUGGUACUAGAGGGCACCAGAGAGCUCUUCCGGCUGUAGGAGCAUACUAUCCCACGUUUGGCAUCCAAACAUCUGGUGAGGUUUUCAUCCUGUACUUACCUUCUUUCUGUGUGCAACGUCAGGCUUUUUAAAGUUUUUCAUAUGAUGAUAGUGUGAAUUUACAUGCAAAGAUCAAUUCAGUGUGAGAAGCAUCUUUCAUCCUCAGUGGACGGCAGAACAGGGCUGAUAAUAAAUAGUGUCUGAAACGUUAUAUUUUCUGUGCUAAAACAUGGCAACAAAUGUCUGCAUUUUGUCAUUUUCCAAAACAAGACAACAUGUAGUCUGACUGUGCUCUUAGUACAUUUUGGAGUUUUCCUGUUCUGUCUUGAAUAACCCAGGGUUCUAAAGCGCUUUCUUUUAAUCCUUAUGGGGCCAGAGAAUGAGAAGGAGAAUGAGUCAUGUACCACCUUCUGUUGUAUCGUUUAAAUGACACAAUCUGGAGACAGUUUUCAGUCUUCAUUUGGUGCAGUCAAAGAUGGCCAUGUGACACCUAAUCGUACUGUAAUAUAUAGUCAGUCCAGCACGACUUCAAAGUCUGGUUCUGUGCUUCUAUAUAAUAUGUUGUGCCAUCCUAAAGAAUUGAUUUCUUAUAUACUGUACUUUUUCUUUAAUGAACAAUAUUGAGCUCCACAGUAGUAUAUGACGUUGUAAUACUUCCUUAACUUACUUGACUACACUGCAUCGCACACACAUUGAUGAAUACUGUGCCGUACUACACAAAGCUGCUACGCUAUGCCUUGCUGUACUAUACCAGUUUCUCUUGAAUUGUGUUUAUACACUCUUUGAGUUUGCUAGGAACUUUGAGGCAAGACGCAGACGGAUCGCUAGUCCAUCCCAGAGCAUGCAGACAUUCACACCAAGAGAUGAUCUACUCCACCACUCCAUUUCAGUCCAGACUCAUGUCGCCUUGUGACUCAAAGUGUUGUUAGGCUAUUGUUUCUCUUCAGUCAUACUGUAAGUAAAAUUUCCAUGUUUAUGUGAAAACAACGUAUUCUGUGAGCGUUAUUAUAUAAUACCGUUAGUGUACCUGUUAGGGUCAGUGGUGUUAUGACAGAAAAGGUGCAGUAAGGUGUGAUCGUCUUGUCAGCAGCCAAUGAAACGGUGGCGUUAGAGACAGAUGGAAAGAACAACGAGCAAGAGACGGCAGGAGGCCACUGGAGAAAGUCAGCUUUAUUGACCAAAGAUUGGGGGAGAGAAGAGAGAGAAAGUGAAAGUACAGAUCCAUUAAGUUGUGGGAGCAGGCAGACAAGAGGAAAGGUGACAGCACCAGAGCAGUACUGCAGGAGGAAGUGAAUGUUCCUUCGCUGAGAUCAUUAAGCUGCCGUUGGCUUUUGGAAAACGUGGAUGGUUUGAUUCCUACUGGCUGCCAAAAAUGGAGCAGUACAGUUGCGGACGAAGGAAGUGACUUCACCCGUUGAACAAAACACCAGAGAAAAAGAGAGAGAUAGCAAAGUGGCAGAGUUUAUAUAAAAUAAAGGCCUCGUCGAAUUGAAUAGCCUUUUCUGCUCCCUUCACAAGAGAGUAGUCAAAACAAAAGGUCUAAUUGAAAAUUCUAAUAUCAGCUAUGAUUGGUUAUGACUAGGAAGAGGCACAUAAAGAAACCUUGUCUGGUCUGUUCACACUCCUUCAGAUGUGUGUGUGUGUGUGCGUGUGUGUGUGUGUGUGUGUGUGUGUGCGUGUGUGUGCAUGUGUGUGUGCGUGUGCGUAAUGUCACUAACUCACUAAAAAUCUGUAUUCAUGUUUUUAGAUUUCUUCUGAAGGAUUGAUUUUACAUGGCUGUGUUGUCUGUGAAAACUGUUGUAAACAGCUUUAUUCCCAGUCAGAGACCACACGCCUCAUGGAUGUACUGUCAUGGCUGUGGUCACUCGAGGGCGGAGCUAUGUCGUUGUCAGGGAGAAUUUGGAGAAAAAAAAAGAGAAAUGACGCGUCUCCAAGUGAAAAGUCAAACUGGAGUGUGUGUAGGUGUGUGUGUGUGUGUGUGUGUGUGUGUGUGUGUGUGUGUGUCAGCCAAGUCCAGAGGAGGAGGAGGGCAGUGCUUCUGUUAGUAACCACCCAGACACAGAGGAGAAGGGAGAGGUGUUGUGGGCCGAUAAUAAAAGGAAGAAGAAGAUUCAGUCACAUGAGGAUGCAGCACUCGCAGCGUUUCCUCUUGUCUGUACCUGUGUCGGGGGUGAGACCAGGAGGGGGUGCUGUGUUGGCAUCAGGA
Synchiropus splendidus (mandarinfish) is the source of this 2514-nucleotide long non-coding RNA. RefSeq lists it as uncharacterized. The record is from RefSeq and is a predicted model, not a curated record. The transcript has 3 exons. Lineage: Eukaryota; Metazoa; Chordata; Actinopteri; Syngnathiformes; Callionymidae.